This 465-nucleotide ribosomal RNA is filed under the name uncultured bacterium. Its description in RNAcentral is "partial 16S ribosomal RNA". It matches the Rfam family "Bacterial small subunit ribosomal RNA", at positions 28 to 507 of the family's 1533-position model. The record is from RNAcentral.
GAUGAACGCUGGCGGCGUGCUUAACACAUGCAAGUCGAACGGAAAGGCUCCUGCUUGCCGGGGUACUCGAUUGGCGAACGGGGGAGUAACACGUGGGUGAUCUGCCCUUCACUGCGGGAUAAGCCUUGGAAACUCGGGCUAAUACCGGAUAGGAUGAUUGGUUGCAUACCAUUGUGGAGAGUUUUGCGGUAUUGGUUGAGCUCGCAGCUAAUCAGUUGGUUGGUCGGGUAAUGGCCUACCAAGCGGGAGACGGGUCGCCGGCCUGGGAGGGGGGACGGCCACCAUGGGCCUGCGAUACGCACCAGAAUCGUACGGGAGGCAAUAGGCGGAAAUAUUACACAACGGGGGCAAGCCUGAUGCAGCGGCGCUGCGUGGGGGAUGCCGGCCUUCGGGUUGUAAACAACUGUCGCUAGGGACGAAGAGCAAGUGACGGUACCUGGAGAAGAAGCAACGGCUAACUACGUG